Molecule: ribosomal RNA, 236 nt
Filed under: uncultured bacterium
Lineage: Bacteria
Description: partial 16S ribosomal RNA
Rfam family: Bacterial small subunit ribosomal RNA
Source: RNAcentral
UGAGCAAUCUGCCCUUCUCUUCGGAAUAAGCGUUGGAAACGACGUCUAAUGCCGAAUACGACCUCCUUUCGCAUGAUCGGAGGUGGAAAGCUCCGGCGGAGAAGGAUGAGCUCGCGGCCUAUCAGCUAGUUGGUGUGGGUAAUGGCCCACAAGGCGACGACGGGUAGCCGGCCUGAGAGGGUGACCGGCCACACGUGGGACUGAGACACGGCCCAGACCUCCUACGGUAGGNAGCG